UCCUACGGGAGGCAGCAGUGAGGAAUAUUGGUCAAUGGACGGAAGUCUGAACCAGCCAAGUAGCGUGAAGGAUGACUGCCCUCUGGGUUGUAAACUUCUUUUAUACGGGAAUAACAUGAGGUACGCGUACCUUAUUGCAUGUACCGUUAUGAAUAAGCAUCGGCUAACUCCGUGCCAGCAGCCGCGGUAAUACGGAGGAUGCGAGCGUUAUCCGGAUUUAUUGGGUUUAAAGGGAGCGUAGGUGGGAUAUUAAGUCAGCUGUGAAAGUUUGGGGCUCAACCUUAAAAUUGCAGUUGAUACUGGUUUCCUUGAGUACGGUACAGGUGGGCGGAAUUCGUGGUGUAGCGGUGAAAUGCUUAGAUAUCACGAAGAACUCCGAUCGCGAAGGCAGCUCACCGGGCCGGAACUGACACUGAUGCUCGAAAGUGCGGGUAUCAAACAGGAUUAGAUACCCUGGUAGUCC
Molecule: ribosomal RNA, 463 nt
Filed under: uncultured bacterium
Lineage: Bacteria
Description: bacterial SSU rRNA
Rfam family: Bacterial small subunit ribosomal RNA
Source: RNAcentral